GGGACCAAGCGUUGUUCGGAUUUACUGGGCGUAAAGGGCGCGUAGGCGGCGUGUUAAGUCAGUUGUGAAAUCUCCGGGCUUAACUCGGAACGGUCAAUUGAUACUGUUGUGCUAGAGUACAGAAGGGGCAAUCGGAAUUCUUGGUGUAGCGGUGAAAUGCGUAGAUAUCAAGAGGAACACCUGAGGUGAAGACGGGUUGCUGGGCUGAUACUGACGCUGAGGCGCGAAAGCUAGGGUAGCAAACGGGAUUAGAUACCCCGGUAGUCCUAGCCCUAAACGAUGAAUACUUGGUGUCUGGAGUUUUAAUUCUCCGGGUGCCGUCGCUAACGUUUUUAGUAUUCCGCCUGGGGAGUACGCACGCAAGUGUGAAACUCAAAGGAAUUGACGGGGGCCCGCACAAGCGGCGGAGCAUGUGGCUUAAUUCGAUGCAACGCGAAGAACCUUACCUAGGCUUGACAUGCUAGUUAAAGCGGGUGAAAGCCCGUGUCCGUAAGGGGCUAGCACAGGUGCUGCAUGGCUGUCGUCAGCUCGUGCCGUGAGGUGUUGGCUUAAGUGCCGCAACGAGCGCAACCCCUACUAUUAGUUGCCAGCGAGUUAUGUCGGGGACUCUAAUAGGACUGCCGGGGACAACUCGGAGGAAGGUGGGGAUGACGUCAAGUCAGCAUGGCCCUUAUGCCUAGGGCUGCACACAUGCUACAUUGCGCGCUACAAAGGGCUGCGAUCCCGCGAGGGGGAGCGAAUCCCAAAAAAGCGUGCCUGGUUCGGAUUGGAGUCUGCAACUCGACUCCAUGAAGUCGGAGUCGCUAGUAAUCGCAGAUCAGCAACGCUGCGGUGAAUACGUUCCCGGGCCUUGUACACACCGCCCGUCACACCACGAAAGUGGGUAACACCCGAAG
RNAcentral lists this ribosomal RNA (896 nucleotides) under uncultured bacterium. RNAcentral's name for it is "bacterial SSU rRNA". It matches the Rfam family "Bacterial small subunit ribosomal RNA", at positions 530 to 1426 of the family's 1533-position model. The record is from RNAcentral.